AACUGAUUUCAUGAUCCCAAUCCUUGCGUCUCUUCCUAUCUAGACGAGCGCUAAUUCCCUUCAUGGUGGCAUCAGCUCCUCGUGACUAGCAGCGCACCUUCUGAAAAGAAGCCCCAGGAAUGUCUCAGCUACAGCCAUCCCAAAGUACGCCCCCUUCCUCAGGUGGGCUUGUCUUUUCCUUUGGGCUCCGAGACCCUGUCCUCCAGCUGGGGCCAACCAGCAACAAUGGACCAGAGUCACAGCGCCUCUCUGGAUGCAGGAUGCUCUGAGCUGUAAAGUCACCCCAAAGGCUCAGCAUUGUCAUCACCAUCAUCAAUCACCAUCGCCACCAUUUGCCUUCAAAACAGCCUUACAGUUGGAUCUGUCUGGAUUUGAAUUCCAGCUCUGCUGUGUGAACACUACCUGUGUGCUGCGGCCAGGUCCCUGGGUUCCUGAGCCUCAGUCUUCCCCCCUGCAGAAUGGGGACAAUAGUGGACCAUAGGCAAGGUGAGCUUUUAGUAGGAAGGUGAGUGCACAGCCCAAGCGGUGCCAGCCAUAUCACAAUAAUGCACAUCUUUAAUAAGUGGUGUUGAGUCAGUGGGAUAUCCAUAUGGAUCUAACUGAAUUUCUAUCCCAUCCUCAAUGUAAUGGAACAAGACCCUAUGGUGCCUCCCCAGCACAGAACGCCCCCUCCCCAAAUCCAGCCCCUGCCUUCAUGUCCUCUGCCUUCCUUUUGUAUGUAGAAAAAUUUUAGUCAAAUAAUACAUUUAAUCAGAAAAAGGAGAAAAGCACAGAAGCAAAGGGAAAUAGUCAAACAAGGCAAAAUAAUAAUAAGUUAGUCUUUAAACAAAGUCAAGGAGCUUUAGUUCCCCUUCAAGGACUAUAGAUAAUGUUCUGAGCUGUGUCCUUUGAGCUGUUUUGCAGGUACUGAAACCCUCACCAAGUGGAAGGAGUUAGCUACACGAUGACCAGAUUAUAGUGAAGACAGAGCGUGUUCCCUCGCACAUGGUUCAGGGAGCUAGCCUCAAGGAAAUGGGAACAAACCGACCUUGGAACCGGAGAUCAUCUGUACUUAAAACAAUCAAGAUGAUGCUGGUCAGACCACCACAUAGCUGAUUUCAAGAUGAUUGUCAGAGCUGACUGUGCUGUUCUGAAAAUAGCCACCCUCUCUCCCCCACCUAAGCACCCCGGAAAUUCCUCUUUACAAACUUGUCCCUUGAUCAGCAACGGGAAGUUAGUUCUUUGGGGCAUGAGUCCACCUUCUUCCCAGGAUUGCCAGGUUCCUUGAUAAAGCUGCCUUUCCUUUUACCUAA
Long non-coding RNA from Capra hircus (goat), 1292 nucleotides. RefSeq lists it as uncharacterized. The record is from RefSeq and is a predicted model, not a curated record. The transcript is spliced from 2 exons. Lineage: Eukaryota; Metazoa; Chordata; Mammalia; Artiodactyla; Bovidae.